UGGCUGGUGAUGAUAAAAUAAUCUUAGUGGAUUUCUCUGAGGAAAUGCAUUCUAUUGCCAACGAUGUGUUAUUUGUUACACACCUUGAAGCCA
Picea glauca (white spruce) is the source of this 93-nucleotide non-coding RNA. Lineage: Eukaryota; Viridiplantae; Streptophyta; Pinopsida; Pinales; Pinaceae. The record is from Rfam.